GUAGGUGAACCUGCGGAAGGAUCAUUAUCACGUAUCCACGUUCUUACCACCGCGAACCAAUUUUUCUCCUGGUGAACACAUGUGGGAUAUUCUGUACUGGAGGCGCUUUGGGCCCUUAGGGCGGGUUUCGGGCCUCCUCAUGCAGUCCACGUUGUGCACACCGGGCGUGUUUACACGCAAACCCGUGGGCCUCAACCCCUAGAACAACAAUGUAUUAUUUUAUUUGAACUGACCCGUUCUUACUUCCUUU
This 250-nucleotide unclassified non-coding RNA is filed under the name plant metagenome. RNAcentral's name for it is "partial contains small subunit ribosomal RNA, internal transcribed spacer 1, and 5.8S ribosomal RNA". The record is from RNAcentral.